RNAcentral lists this transfer RNA (45 nucleotides) under Anchomanes difformis. Its description in RNAcentral is "partial tRNA-Phe". The record is from RNAcentral. RNAcentral also lists the same sequence under 6 other names. Lineage: Eukaryota; Viridiplantae; Streptophyta; Magnoliopsida; Alismatales; Araceae.
UCGGGAUAGCUCAGUUGGUAGAGCAGAGGACUGAAAAUCCUCGUG